GACGAACGCUGGCGGCGUGCCUAACACAUGCAAGUCGAACGGAACUGUUUUGAAAGAUUUCUUCGGAAUGAAUUUGAUUUAGUUUAGUGGCGGACGGGUGAGUAACGCGUGAGUAACCUGCCUUCAAGAGGGGAAUAACAUUCUGAAAAGAAUGCUCAUACCGCAUGACAUAUCGGAACCACAUGGUUUUGAUAUCAAAGAUUUUAUCGCUUGAAGAUGGACUCGCGUCCGAUUAGUUAGUUGGUGAGGUAACGGCUCACCAAGACCGCGAUCGGUAGCCGGACUGAGAGGUUGAACGGCCACAUUGGGACUGAGACACGGCCCAGACUCCUACGGGAGGCAGCAGUGGGGGACAUUGCGCAAUGGGGGCAACCCUGACGCAGCAACGCCGCGUGAAGGAUGAAGGUUUUCGGAUUGUAAACUUCUUUUAUUAAGGACGAAAAAUGACGGUACUUAAUGAAUAAGCUCCGGCUAACUACGUG
This 482-nucleotide ribosomal RNA is filed under the name uncultured bacterium. RNAcentral's name for it is "partial 16S ribosomal RNA". It matches the Rfam family "Bacterial small subunit ribosomal RNA", at positions 28 to 507 of the family's 1533-position model. The record is from RNAcentral.